Molecule: ribosomal RNA, 253 nt
Filed under: uncultured bacterium
Lineage: Bacteria
Description: partial 16S ribosomal RNA
Rfam family: Bacterial small subunit ribosomal RNA
Source: RNAcentral
UACGGAGGGUGCAAGCGUUGUCCGGAUUUAUUGGGUUUAAAGGGUGCGUAGGCGGCUGAUUAAGUCAGCGGUGAAAUUCCACAGCUCAACUGUGGAACUGCCAUUGAUACUGGUUAGCUUGAGUACAGAUGAGGUAGGCGGAAUUGACAGUGUAGCGGUGAAAUGCUUAGAUAUUGUCAAGAACACCUAUUGCGAAGGCAGCUUACUAAGCUGUAACUGACACUGAGGCACGAAAGCGUGGGGAGCAAACAGG